UCCAGACUCCUACGGGAGGCAGCAGUGGGGAAUAUUGCACAGUGGGGGAAACCCUGAUGCAGCGACGCCGCGUGAGCGAUGAAGUAUUUCGGUAUGUAAAGCUCUAUCAGCAGGGAAGAAAAUGACGGUACCUGACCAAGAAGCCCCGGCUAACUACGUGCCAGCAGCCGCGGUAAUACGUAGGGGGCAAGCGUUAUCCGGAUUUACUGGGUGUAAAGGGAGCGUAGGCGGCGACGCAAGUCAGAAGUGAAAGCCCGGGGCUCAACUCCGGGACUGCUUUUGAAACUGCGUUGCUAGAUUGCGGGAGAGGCAAGUGGAAUUCCUAGUGUAGCGGUGAAAUGCGUAGAUAUCAGGAGGAACACCAGUGGCGAAGGCGGCUUGCUGGACGAUGACUGACGUUGAGGCUCGAAAGCGUGGGGAGCAAACAGGAUUAGAUACCCUUGUAU
This 446-nucleotide ribosomal RNA is filed under the name uncultured bacterium. Its description in RNAcentral is "bacterial SSU rRNA". It matches the Rfam family "Bacterial small subunit ribosomal RNA", at positions 330 to 793 of the family's 1533-position model. The record is from RNAcentral.